GAGCCGACUGGACGCCGCCCGUUAAAGCCGCUCGGCGUCGCCGGGGCCAAGCCCGGGCUUCGUAGACGACUCACAGAAACAGGGACGACUGAUGGGCCCCCCACCCCUCGAACAAGUGACAAAAGCGAUCACUCCGCUUUAGGAAGACGCACUUAAAUGUUCCUUUCACCUCGUUGCAUCAAUGAUUUCCUUCACGUAAACAUAAACCGUUAGAUGUGAAUGAAGAUCACGAGCUGAAGGUGGGCCUACAGUGAGAGUAGGAAAGGAGAAGAUAUGAUCCAGUUGUCUGUGAUGAAAAGACCAAGUCUACCAGUAAAACGAAGGAUUAUCAGACAAUGGCUGCACUCUCCCUGCUGGAUGGUGAACUCCAGAUAUCACAUUUGCUGUUGGUAAAUCUGGGCUUUCUCUUUAGACACUUCAUACCCACAGUCCUCCAGGUGCCAAAGUAAGGCAUCCAUUUAUUUAGCACACCCAAUUGCCGUGGGGUGUCCCAAUAAAAAGUCACCAGCAUAUUGGAGCAGCAUGCAGCCUAAGUCCUUAGCAAGAAACUUUUGGAGGUCAUGGGCUAGUGCCUUCCCAAAGAUGGUGGGAGAGUUCUUGAACCCCUGGGGUAGCUGGGUUCAGGUGUACCGGGUGGUUACACCUGUUUCUGGAUUUUCCCAUUGAAAAGCAAAGAGCUUCUGACUCUCCGAGGCCAGCCUGAUGCUAAAGAAAGCAUCCUUUAAGUCCAAGCAGAUGAACCAACUGUCCUCCGCUGGCAAUAAUCCCAGCAGUGUGUAUGGGUUAGGCACAGUUGGGUGCAAAGUCACUGUGGCCUGAUUAACGGGACACAAGUCCUGCACUGGCCUGUAGUCACUGGUCCCCAGUUUAGGAACAGGUAAGAGGUGGGUGUUCCACGGAGAUUGGCAAGGAACUAUAAAUAGUCCCUUAAGUGCUUUAGGUGGACCUGAAUUCCUGUUAGGGCCUCUCCGGGAAUUGGAUAUUGCUUUUGCCUAACCGGCUGAGCCCCAGGCUUGACUGUUAAUGAGCACAGGGGCCUGGCAGACUGUCCUCUGCCUGGACCUGUGGCCAUUGCUUGGCUAGAGCAAGGGGUUAAUUUUUGUUUUGGUUAGGAAGAGUUGCCACCCCACCUCCGGAGAGACUGUGAGAGCCUUGAUAAUGCCUGCCUGAGGCAGUUUUAGCAGUAGUCCUUAGUUUGCAUAACAAGUCUCUCCCCAAGGGGUCUAGGGGCAGUCCGGCAAGUACAAGAACUUCUGUGUAACUUUAUGGCCUCCCACCAAACAGGUCCAAGGCAAACAGAAAGACUGUUUUUCUAACACCCCAGUAGCUCCAGCAAUAUUGGUUAUUUCCUUUGAUGGGGGGGGUUACAGGACUGUUAUCUGGACUAUGGGCUCUUUGGGGACAUAUGAUCCCGACCCCCCUUCAGUCCAGUGGCCCUUCCAUUAGACUGAACAGAGCUCCUCCACUUUCAUCUGAAUCCUCAUGCUUAGGAUCACCAUUUUCCUGUUAACUGGGGCACUUGUCCUUCCAAUGCCUCACUUCCCUACAGUAAGCGCACUGGGCAUGCUGCAGGCACGGGCAAGCAGACUGAGUGGCUUUCCAGGAGCCCCCUUUUCCCACCUUCUUGGGGGCCCUCCUUUAAUAGCAGCAUCUAUCAAGUUAGCAUUUCAUCGAGCCUGACGCUCAUUUUCUCUACAACUUUCUCUACUGCUUAACUGCUUCUCGGUUCACAAACACCUGGUUAGCUAUUUCCAAUAACUGUGAAGUAUUCAUGCCCACAAAUCCUGCCUGCCUCUGUAGCUUUCUCCUAAUGUCUUCUGCAUACUGACUGACUAAUGUCAUAUUUAUCACGUGUUGGUUUUCGAGGCUGUCAGGACAAAUGGAGUAUACAUGCUAUAGGCCUUGCACAGCCUUUCAUAAAAUCGUGCAGGACUUUCCUCUUCUCCUUGAGUAACCUCAGAGACUUUGUUAAUGUCUGUAGCCUUCUGGGCUCCCUUUUUUAAUCCUUCCACUAAGGCCUCUCUGUCCCAGAUUAGCCUCUGCAUGCCCUCCGGAGUGUUUGGAUCCCACUGGGGAUCAGUCUCCAGUAACUACACCCUGACAUAUUCUUGGGGGUUCUGGUAAUCUGCAGGAACAUGCUCCUCCAACCAUUUGGAAGUGGCUUGGAGUACACUCCACCUUUUGUCCAUGUUAAAAAGCUAUAUAAGCAGCUGGUGGCAAUCAGCCCAAGUGGGGUUAUAAGUCUGAAUAAUAGUUUGCAGUAGGUCAAUGAAAGCUUGUGGCUUCUCCGUAUAAGAUGGUUUGUUAUUUUUCCAGUUGAUAAGAUCAGCCAAGGUGAACAGCAGGUACAUGAAAACCCGCCUUUCUACCUUGUGGCCAUCCUCAUCCACUCCUGUAUACCUCUGCUCUCUUAAAGGCAUCUACACCUCUGCCUUGGGUGGCAGACGGGCUGCCAGAGGGGGAAUUCCUCCCAGGAAGCAGGUGGCAAUGGGAGGAGUUCCUUCGCAUUCUCUUUUUUCUACUCCAGGUGGUUUAGGGGUGUGCAUUUCUAGUGAGGUGCUGCAGCUUCAGGCCCAAGGGCAGGGAGUCCUUGAGGAGGAGGGGGCAUUAUUGGCAAAAACUCUUCUACUGUCAGUUUGGCCAGGACCUUAGGAGCUGGUGUCUCUGCCACUGAAUCUGCCAGGACCUUGGGAGUCCUUGUCUCUUGGCGGGUGGAGUGGGGUUUUUUCCUAGCUGUCUGUCCUUUCACCACCAGCACAGCUGCUGCCUAUCCUCUUAACCACUAACUAACUGUAACCACAAAUCAAUGUACGGAAUUUGAUCCAGGUGUUCUGGUUUGCUGCAUAUAACCUCAUGCCAUACUUUGGAGACAAGAGACCCAUCCAGGGUCCCCUCUGAGGGCCAGUUCACCCCAAAUGCUGGCCAGUCUACCUCACCUAAAGUCCUUAGCUUUCCUGCUGUCAUAGUUACUCCAUAGUCCCCACUGAAUCUCUUCUUGAAAUUUUUCAGCAUGGUCCCUAAAGGAGUGGGCUUGUUAUGAGUGUGACCCAUGUUUACGCACAGAAAGACAGUCCUCACGGUUUAAAGAGGGUUACUCUGCUCACAGCAGUUCCCACCCAUCAAGACACACUACACACUCCGAUUCACAUUCACUUCAGGCUGGUGGAAUCGCCUUUCUUUCUUAUUUCAGACGCUACUUGGUAUGAGAGAGACUGUUAACCCUCUCACAACACCUAGAUUGUGAGAGCUCCUCCGUUUAGUCUUAUGUGGACAUCUCUAAUUCCAACCAGCCCCACAAGUUGCUCGGAGCUUAGGGCCCCCUCUAAUGGGCCUGCUGCUCCCACGGCUGAUGAGUCCAGUUGGACCCCUCCACUCACUCACACAAUUGCUCUCCUCCCUCCACCCAAAUCAAAAUCAUAAUCCAAACUUCCAAGGUUAGGUACAGAAAGAGAGAGAGAAAGGGCCAAGUUCAAGAGCGCCAAAUCUGGCACACGUGGGUCAUCAGGCCAUGCUUCCCCCAAAGGAGGUGGGCAAAUUUCCCUGGAUCGAUCCUACCGUGUUUCUUUGUCCAGACUGUCUAAGUACCCAUUCCUUCUCGGUGUUCAGCCACUGGGUGGAUCCACACUGCGGGGGCUUCCUGGUUCUGCUCUGAUAAGGCUUUCCACCAGGCCAAUACCUGCCCGGGAGCACUCUCAGGAAUCGUGUCACCCAAGCAGGCGGGAGCCCCCCACAGGGAUGCUCUGAAGGGCUAGGCAAACUGCCUGAAAGCCUGUGCUGGCUGUCCGCCAACGAAAAUUGGUUUCCAGUCAGGGAACCAAAAUGAAGCAGGAGCGGCCGCAAGAAAGACCUCUCGGACACUGAGCUAGGAAGGAAGGAGUGAUUUAUUUCAGCCGGGAGCAAGUCACACAGCUGCCCAAUAGCCAAGCUCACCUAACAAAGAGAAAUUUUGCCUUUAUAUAGGCUUACAACUCUAGAUAUUACACGUGAAAGAGUCUUGACUUUACAGUUUUAGAGAUUACAUAUGAAAAGGGUCUUGGUCCAUGGAGUAGGCAUGGGAUGGGGGUUUGAUCUUGUUGAAGUAAAAACAAUGCCUUCCGGAAAGAUUCCCCCAUACCAUGCCUACUAUCUAUAGGAAGGCGAUUAAGGUGGCACCCGGUCAGCCAGCCUUUACUUCUAUUGAAAUGCAGUGUGGAAGUUAAGGGGAAGGUGAUCUUAGAUGCUUGGGUCUCCUUCCUCGGUAGUAACUCACAUUGUACAGGGCUGGUCUCUGAGGAAGAGCAGGGAUCAGUUUUAACAGGGGGUAAGGAACUUCCUGGAGCAAAGAGAGAAGCAUGCUUCCUUUCUAUUUCAGGUCCACUUCUCUAAAGCAGACUGAGAUGUUGAUUCUUGUGCGAGUUAUUUAUUAAGGAAGUGCUCCCAGGAGAAGCUGGUUUAAGAAUGGGAGAAGCCAGGGAGGUAAUAGGGAGAAGACAAGCAACGUCCCAGCCUCAGCCUGAACACAAAGGGACCUCUGGAAUGUAUAGUGGACUGCUGUUCUUGGCAGCAGUUGUGUUCUGUAAAGUUGCUGUGGACAUUUAGUGAAACUGAAACAUUGCUCCUAGGGGAAAUACGGGACUAGGUUCCUGUGAGUGUCUGAUCACAUACUUGUCAACUGAUCGAUACACAACCUUGUUUUAUGUGUGUUUCUAUUUAAAGACACUUUAUUUAAUAGUGUUAAUUCAUUAGCGUUGACUUCAUGGAUGAUAGCACUAUAACUCAUGCCUGAAGAAAGCUUACCCAACACAUGUGUUUUCUCUGUGAGGCACAUCACAGCCUGCUCAAACUGAGGAACACCACACAGCACUUUAGCACUGCUCUUGGUGCCAUUGCAAACAGCAAAAUCAUCCACAAAAAA
This is a long non-coding RNA of Sapajus apella (tufted capuchin), 4894 nucleotides long. RefSeq lists it as uncharacterized. The record is from RefSeq and is a predicted model, not a curated record. Lineage: Eukaryota; Metazoa; Chordata; Mammalia; Primates; Cebidae. The transcript has 3 exons.